GAUGAACGCUGGCGGCGUGCCUAAUACAUGCAAGUCGAGCGAACAGACGAGGAGCUUGCUCCUCUGACGUUAGCGGCGGACGGGUGAGUAACACGUGUAUAACCUCCCUAUAAGACUGGGAUAACUUCGGGAAACCGGCGCUAAUACCGGAUAAUCUCUUGAACCGCAUGGUUCAAUAGUGAAAGACGGUUUUGCUGUCACUUAUCGAUGGAUCCGCGCCGCAUUAGCUAGUUGGUAAGGUAACGGCUUACCAAGGCGACGAUGCGUAGCCGACCUGAGAGGGUGAUAGGCGACACUGGAACUGAGACACGGUCAAGACGCCUACGGGAGGCAGCAGUAGGGAAUCGGACGCAAUGGGCGAAAGCCUGACGGAGCAACGCCGCGUGAGUGAUGAAGGUCUUCGGAUCGUAAAACUCGGUUAUUAGGGAAGAACAAAUGUGUAAGGAACUAUGCACGGCUUGACGGUAACUAAUCAGAAAGCCACGGCUAACUACGUG
This 497-nucleotide ribosomal RNA is filed under the name uncultured bacterium. RNAcentral's name for it is "partial 16S ribosomal RNA". It matches the Rfam family "Bacterial small subunit ribosomal RNA", at positions 28 to 507 of the family's 1533-position model. The record is from RNAcentral.